Molecule: long non-coding RNA, 1422 nt
Organism: Lemur catta (Ring-tailed lemur)
Lineage: Eukaryota; Metazoa; Chordata; Mammalia; Primates; Lemuridae
Exons: 3
Source: RefSeq, a predicted model, not a curated record
UACAGUCCUCAAUCAAGUAUUAAAUUACAAUUGAAAUAAAUGCUCUGAAGGAGUGGUACAUGGUAGUAUGUGGGGAUAUGUAAAGUAUGAUUGGGAUUAGGCCAGGAGUAGACUAACCACUGGCCCAAACUCAACAAAUCAUAUUUUUUUGCCUGGAAAUCAAAGGUAAUAAUAGCUAACACUUCUAUAGCACUUAUUGUGUUAAAUUAUUUUGUAUAGUUUGGUAGAUUUAAUUCUUCCCACAGCCCUAUUGAGAUAUAUAACAUUAUCACUACUUUAGAGAUGAGGAAAUUGAGACACAGAGAGGUUAAGUAACUUGGUUGAGGUCACACAGCUAGUUAGUGAUGGAACUAGGAUUUAAACCCAGGUAGGCUGUUCCAGAGUCUAGGUCCACUAUCGCUGAGAUUGGGGUGGGAGGGGGCAGCCAUCUCCUACCACCUGGUGGGAAAGGCACAGAAAGCUGGUUUUCACAGAGAGAGAGAAGAAUGAAGACAUGCAGAGAGAAGCAAAAGCAAGUUUCCUUCCCUACAGAGCCACAGUUGUCUCCUGUGAUGUCCUGAGACAUCUUUACCAAGAUCCUCUGAAUGUGACGUGACUUCUCAACACCACCACCAGAGAGGUCUGGAACAGAAUCUGACAGUGAUGAAUCAAUACCAGAGCUCAAGGAACCGGAUUCCACAUAUGCAACCACACAAUAAGCCCAGCUGGCAGCAGCAGCUGCGAUCAAUGAAGAACCAGUCAGUAAAGCAAAACAAAGUCGGAGCGAAAAGACAGCAAGGAUGACUGUGUCCAACGUGCAAGAUGCCUUCCGCACCUCCGAGUGCCAUGUUCUUACCCAACUGUGAUCAAAGCGGGAAAGGUGGUAUCAGGACUCUUCUGCCUCAUCAGCCUCUUUUAUCAGGAAGCAAUCUCUUUGCUAGAAGUUCCUCAGCAGGAUUCUCCCUUACAACUCACUGACCAGAUGUGAAAGAGUCCUGGAGUUUGAGUAUCUGACUUUUGGCUUCUCUAGUUUGGCAAAUGGGCUUAAAGAAGGAGUUUGGGGAAAAAAGUAGCCAACUGAUAGUGCCUGCUACUUUUGUUAGGUAAAAUAAAACAGUAAGUCACCAUUCCCGGAUUUCAUUUUAGUGCAUUUUUAAUAACUCUGUCUUGGAGAAUCUGCCCUCUUAUAUCAUUGAAUAUGUAAAUGGGUGUAAUUCUCCCAGCCAAAGUAGGGGUUGCCAAGUCCGAACUGACCUACAGACAUGUGAAACAUUUAGUACCUUUGUUCUGCUGGCUCUGUUGUCAAGAGCUUUCUGUUCUCAUAUUGUGGCACAAUUUAUAUCAGAAGCUUGUCCUUAAAAGUCCAUAUGAAUAAAAGUUAUUUAUUUUAUUUAUUUAUUUUUAGAGACUAGGUCUUGCUAUGUUGUCCAGGCUGGCCUUGAU